This 492-nucleotide ribosomal RNA is filed under the name uncultured bacterium. RNAcentral's name for it is "partial 16S ribosomal RNA". It matches the Rfam family "Bacterial small subunit ribosomal RNA", at positions 29 to 507 of the family's 1533-position model. The record is from RNAcentral.
AGUGAACGCUGGCGGUAGGCCUAACACAUGCAAGUCGAACGGCAGCACAGUAAGAGCUUGCUCUUACGGGUGGCGAGUGGCGGACGGGUGAGGAAUACAGCGGAAUCUACUUUUUCGUGGGGGAUAACGUAGGGAAACUUACGCUAAUGCCGCAUACGACCUACGGGUGAAAGCAGGGGAUCUUCGGACCUUGCGCGAGUGAAUGAGCCGAUGUCGGAUUAGCUAGUUGGCGGGGUAAAGGCCCACCAAGGCGACGAUCCGUAGCUGGUCUGAGAGGAUGAUCAGCCACACUGGAACUGAGACACGGUCCAGACUCCUACGGGAGGCAGCAGUGGGGAAUAUUGGACAAUGGGCGCAAGCCUGAUCCAGCCAUACCGCGUGGGUGAAGAAGGCCUUCGGGUUGUAAAGCCCUUUUGUUGGGAAAGAAAAGCAGCAGGUUAAUACCCCGCUGUUCUGACGGUACCCAAAGAAUAAGCACCGGCUAACUUCGUG